AAARGAAUUUGGUGGUUUCGGUCCCCAUACKUCUUGCGCCCUUAGGGGUGUGGGGUGGACUUGAGGCGGGYUCCGUGUUGCCCGGUGUCGAGUUUGUUGAUGYUCGGUAUUGUGUCCCAUGGGGUCUUGGCUCUUGCUCUCUGAUGCAGAAUGUUGUGUGUGUUGGCGUGGGGUCUCGGCCUCUUCUCGUCCAAGCUACUCACACUGUCCCUUGACAUGAAUGACUGCCAUGCCCGUUUUGAUUGUCUGACCGAGCCUCGUCGCGGGGCUCUGGGAGGGCAUCUCAUGCGGGUGUUGGCGUCGGAGARGAAUGC
Molecule: unclassified non-coding RNA, 314 nt
Filed under: Zanthoxylum coco
Lineage: Eukaryota; Viridiplantae; Streptophyta; Magnoliopsida; Sapindales; Rutaceae
Description: partial external transcribed spacer
Source: RNAcentral